Melospiza melodia melodia is the source of this 159-nucleotide long non-coding RNA. RefSeq lists it as uncharacterized. Lineage: Eukaryota; Metazoa; Chordata; Aves; Passeriformes; Passerellidae. The record is from RefSeq and is a predicted model, not a curated record. The transcript has 3 exons.
GGGAAAGUGUGCUGGACCUCAUCAGGAGACAGAACUCACCAGUACUCAUCCAGUGGUCACUCAGAGCACUCUAUAUUUGACUGGCAUGAUUCAUGACUGGCCUUCUGUGGAGAGAAAGGAUAAGGGAAAAUAAGUGGAAUAAACAUAAGAUAAAGCAAC